Molecule: long non-coding RNA, 749 nt
Filed under: Homo sapiens (human)
Lineage: Eukaryota; Metazoa; Chordata; Mammalia; Primates; Hominidae
Description: HSALNT0295098
Source: RNAcentral
GCAAUCUUCCCACCUCAGCCUCCCAAGUAGCUGGGACUACAGAGAGACGGGGUUUCACCACAUUGGCCAGGCCGAUCUCAAACUCCUGACCUCAUGUGACCCACAUUGGCCUGGCAAAGUGCUGGGAUUACAAGCAUGAGCCACCACACUGGCCUAGCUUCUUUAAUACAAGAAAAUCACAAUGGUAAGAAAAAUGAAGACAGGCAAAAGCCACUGGCUCCCAGGUAACUCUACAUGAUGAAGGGGCUGAUAAUGGACUGACCAAAUCUAGAGAGAAUUCCAGAAGCAAGGACUCAAGAGGUUAAAGGUCCCAGAUCUAGAAAAAGCAGAAACUGCUGAUUGUUCCUUUUUUUGUUGACUGAUUAUACAAUGUGUCCUUUUAAAAAUGGUUCUCUGUUCUCUUUGCAGUUUUUGUAUUGGUUCCUAGUUCCUAGUAAUUUCUCACACUUAGUUAACCAGUCAGUCUUACCGAAAAGUAAACUAACCAGGGAUCCCUGGUUUCUGUAUCUUUAAAACCUAUAGGGUUACAAACCAAAGUGAGAUGCCUAUCUGGUUUCUGCACAGUUGUCCUGAAUUAUGUUGGCAGAUAUUUUAUAGCCAGAAAUUUACCUUGAAAAAUAAAUUGAAACCAUACCAAGUAUUUAGAGCUAGGGGUCUAAAAUCUGCAAAAGCCGUGGGAGGUUGUGUUGUCUCAAGAGCCAGUAUUCAGUGGACCACUCCACAUCAUAUUAAAUAAAAUUUAAACACAG